RNAcentral lists this ribosomal RNA (382 nucleotides) under uncultured eukaryote. Its description in RNAcentral is "partial 18S ribosomal RNA". It matches the Rfam family "Eukaryotic small subunit ribosomal RNA", at positions 592 to 976 of the family's 1831-position model. The record is from RNAcentral.
UGUAAGCGUAUACCAAAGUUGUUGCAGUUAAAACGCUCGUAGUCGGAAUUUGGCAGUUCCGGAAGUGUGCACGUCGUGUGCGCACUUUGCGGGGACUGCUUUUGUGGUCUUGCAUAGGAUGAGGCACUUUCAUUAGUGAACGUCCUCACGCAACCACUCUUUACUGUGAGAAAAUCAGAGUGCUCAAAGCAGGCAUUUGCCGUGAAUGUAUUAGCAUGGAAUAAUAGAAUAGGACUCGGUUCUAUUUUGUUGGUUUGUUGGGACUGAGUAAUGAUUAAGAGGGACAGUUGGGGGCAUUUGUAUUCCGGCGCUAGAGGUGAAAUUCUUAGAUUGCCGGAAGACAAACUGCUGCGAAAGCGUCUGCCAAGGAUGUUUUCAUUGA